GCGCGCGUAGGCGGCGUGUCACGCCGGGUGUGAAAGCCCCGGGCUCAACCUGGGAACGGCAUCCGGAACGGGCAGGCUAGAGUGCAGGAGAGGAAGGUAGAAUUCCCGGUGUAGCGGUGAAAUGCGUAGAGAUCGGGAGGAAUACCAGUGGCGAAGGCGGCCUUCUGGACUGACACUGACGCUGAGGUGCGAAAGCGUGGGUAGCAAACAGGAUUAGAUACCCUGGUAGUCCACGCCGUAAACGAUGUCGACUAGCCGUUGGGUCCCUUGAGGACUUAGUGGCGCAGUUAACGCGAUAAGUCGACCGCCUGGGGAGUACGGCCGCAAGGUUAAAACUCAAAUGAAUUGACGGGGGCCCGCACAAGCGGUGGAGCAUGUGGUUUAAUUCGAUGCAACGCGAAGAACCUUACCUACCCUUGACAUCCUGCGAACCCGGAAGAGAUUCCGGGGUGCCUUCGGGAGCGCAGAGACAGGUGCUGCAUGGCUGUCGUCAGCUCGUGUUGUGAAAUGUUGGGUUAAGUCCCGUAACGAGCGCAACCCUUGUCCCUAUUUGCCAGCGAUUCGGUCGGGAACUCUAGGGAGACUGCCGGUGACAAACCGGAGGAAGGUGGGGACGACGUCAAGUCAUCAUGGCCCUUACGGGUAGGGCUACACACGUGCUACAAUGGCCGGUACAAAGGGUUGCGAAAGCGCGAGCUGAAGCCAAUCCCGAAAAGCCGGUCUCAGUCCGGAUCGGAGUCUGCAACUCGACUCCGCGAAGUCGGAAUCGCUAGUAAUCGUGCAUCAGAAUGGCACGGUGAAUACGUUCCCGGGCCUUGUACACACCGCCCGUCACACCAUGGAAGUGGACUGCACCAGAAGUGGUUAGCUUAACCUUCGGGAGAGCGAUCA
Molecule: ribosomal RNA, 891 nt
Filed under: Chromohalobacter canadensis
Lineage: Bacteria; Pseudomonadati; Pseudomonadota; Gammaproteobacteria; Oceanospirillales; Halomonadaceae
Description: bacterial SSU rRNA
Rfam family: Bacterial small subunit ribosomal RNA
Source: RNAcentral